UGUUUUGACUCGGGGCGCUCUUAAUUGAGCUGAGAUGAACCCGUAAUACCUGAUCUGGAUAAUGCCAGCGUAGGGAAGUCAUGGUGUCUUCUU
Molecule: non-coding RNA, 93 nt
Filed under: Photorhabdus asymbiotica
Lineage: Bacteria; Pseudomonadati; Pseudomonadota; Gammaproteobacteria; Enterobacterales; Morganellaceae
Rfam family: TPP riboswitch aptamer (THI element)
About the family: Vitamin B(1) in its active form thiamin pyrophosphate (TPP) is an essential coenzyme that is synthesised by coupling of pyrimidine and thiazole moieties in bacteria. The previously detected thiamin-regulatory element, thi box was extended, resulting in a new, highly conserved RNA secondary structure, the THI element, which is widely distributed in eubacteria and also occurs in some archaea.
Source: RNAcentral